Molecule: ribosomal RNA, 485 nt
Filed under: uncultured Oscillospiraceae bacterium
Lineage: Bacteria; Bacillati; Bacillota; Clostridia; Eubacteriales; Oscillospiraceae
Description: bacterial SSU rRNA
Rfam family: Bacterial small subunit ribosomal RNA
Source: RNAcentral
GAAUUGACGGGGGCCCGCACAAGCGGUGGAGCAUGUGGUUUAAUUCGAAGCGGCGCGAAGAACCUUACCAGGUCUUGACAUCCCGCUGACCGGUCCGUAACGGGGCCUUCCCUUCGGGGCAGCGGAGACAGGUGGUGCAUGGUUGUCGUCAGCUCGUGUCGUGAGAUGUUGGGUUAAGUCCCGCAACGAGCGCAACCCUUACGGUCGGUUGGUACAUUAAGUUGACAACUCCGGCCGGACUGCCGUUGACAAAACGGAGGAAGGUGGGGAUGACGUCAAAUCAUCAUGCCCCUUAAGAUCUGGGCUACACACGUACUACAAUGGCGCAGAGACAAAGGGAAGCGACCCUGUGAAGGUGAGCGAAUCCCAAAAAAGCCGUCCCAGUUCGGAUUGUAGUCUGCAACUCGACUACAUGAAGCCGGAAUCGCUAGUAAUCGCGAAUCAGCAUGUCGUGGUGAAUACGUUCCCGGGCCUUGUACACACCG